CAGCAGCCGCGGUAAUACGUAGGUGGCGAGCGUUGUCCGGAAUUAUUGGGCGUAAAGGGCUCGCAGGCGGUUUCUUAAGUCUGAUGUGAAAGCCCCCGGCUCAACCGGGGAGGGUCAUUGGAAACUGGGAAACUUGAGUGCAGAAGAGGAGAGUGGAAUUCCACGUGUAGCGGUGAAAUGCGUAGAGAUGUGGAGGAACACCAGUGGCGAAGGCGACUCUCUGGUCUGUAACUGACGCUGAGGAGCGAAAGCGUGGGGAGCGAACAGGAUUAGAUACCCCCGUAGUCCCUGUCUCUAUACA
Molecule: ribosomal RNA, 301 nt
Filed under: uncultured bacterium
Lineage: Bacteria
Description: partial 16S ribosomal RNA
Rfam family: Bacterial small subunit ribosomal RNA
Source: RNAcentral